This 104-nucleotide small nuclear RNA is filed under the name Myotis davidii. The record is from RNAcentral. Lineage: Eukaryota; Metazoa; Chordata; Mammalia; Chiroptera; Vespertilionidae.
GUGCCCGCUUCAGCAGCACAUAUACUAAAAUUGGAACGGUACAGAGAUGAGCACGGCCCCUGUGCAAGGCUGACAUUCAAACUCAUGAGGCGUUCCAUAUUUUU